This 791-nucleotide ribosomal RNA is filed under the name uncultured bacterium. RNAcentral describes it as "bacterial SSU rRNA". It matches the Rfam family "Bacterial small subunit ribosomal RNA", at positions 8 to 796 of the family's 1533-position model. The record is from RNAcentral.
AGAGUUUGAUCAUGGCUCAGAUUGAACGCUGGCGGCAUGCCUUACACAUGCAAGUCGAACGGCAGCACGGGGGCAACCCUGGUGGCGAGUGGCGAACGGGUGAGUAAUACAUCGGAACGUGUCCUGUAGUGGGGGAUAGCCCGGCGAAAGCCGGAUUAAUACCGCAUACGAUCUGUGGAUGAAAGCGGGGGAUCUUCGGACCUCGCGCUACAGGGGCGGCCGAUGGCAGAUUAGCUAGUUGGUGGGGUAAAGGCCUACCAAGGCGACGAUCUGUAGCUGGUCUGAGAGGACGACCAGCCACACUGGGACUGAGACACGGCCCAGACUCCUACGGGAGGCAGCAGUGGGGAAUUUUGGACAAUGGGCGAAAGCCUGAUCCAGCAAUGCCGCGUGUGUGAAGAAGGCCUUCGGGUUGUAAAGCACUUUUGUCCGGAAAGAAAACCUCGUGGUUAAUACCCGUGGGGGAUGACGGUACCGGAAGAAUAAGCACCGGCUAACUACGUGCCAGCAGCCGCGGUAAUACGUAGGGUGCAAGCGUUAAUCGGAAUUACUGGGCGUAAAGCGUGCGCAGGCGGUUCGCUAAGACAGAUGUGAAAUCCCCGGGCUUAACCUGGGAACUGCAUUUGUGACUGGCGGGCUAGAGUAUGGCAGAGGGGGGUAGAAUUCCACGUAGCAGUGAAAUGCGUAGAGAUGUGGAGGAAUACCGAUGGCGAAGGCAGCCCCCUGGGCCAAUACUGACGCUCAUGCACGAAAGCGUGGGGAGCAAACAGGAUUAGAUACCCCCGUAGUCC